Molecule: ribosomal RNA, 736 nt
Filed under: Klebsiella aerogenes KCTC 2190
Lineage: Bacteria; Pseudomonadati; Pseudomonadota; Gammaproteobacteria; Enterobacterales; Enterobacteriaceae
Description: bacterial SSU rRNA
Rfam family: Bacterial small subunit ribosomal RNA
Source: RNAcentral
CUCUCAGAUUGAACGUGGCGGCAGGCCUAAMUGCAGUCGAGCGGUAGCACAGAGAGCUUGCUCUCGGGUGACGAGCGGCGGACGGGUGAGUAAYGUCUGGGAAACUGCSUGAUGGAGGGGGAUAACUACUGGAAACGGUAGCUAAUACCGCAUAACGUCGCAAGACCAAAGUGGGGGACCUUYGGGCCUCAUGCCAUMAGAUGUGCCCAGAUGGGAUUCACCUAGGCGACGAUCCCUAGCUGGUCUGAGAGGAUGACCAGCCACACKGGAAYUGAGACACGGUCCAGAYUCCUACGGGAGGCAGCAGUGGGGAAUAUUGCACAAUGGGCGCAAGCCUGAUGCASCCAUGCCGCGUGUAUGAAGAAGGCCUUCGGGUUGUAAAGUACUUUCAGCGAGGAGGAAGGCGUUAAGGUUAAUAACCUUGGYGAUUGACGUUACUCGCAGAAGAAGCACCGGCUAACUCCGUGCCAGCAGCCGCGGUAAUACGGAGGGUGCAAGCGUUAAUCGGAAUUACUGGGCGUAAAGCGCACGCAGGCGGUCUGUCAAGUCGGAUGUGAAAUCCCCGGGCUCAACCUGGGAACUGCAUUCGAAACUGGCAGGCUAGAGUCUUGUAGAGGGGGGUAGAAUUCCAGGUGUAGCGGUGAAAUGCGUAGAGAUCUGGAGGAAUACCGGUGGCGAARGCGGCCYCCUGGACAAAGACUGACGCUCAGUGCGAAAGCGUGGGGAGCGACAGGUG